GCGAGUAACACGUUGGAACCUGCCCCAAACUCAGGGAUAACAUCUAGAAAUAGGUGCUAAUACCGGAUAGUCCCGCAAGGGUAAAGAUUUAUCGGUUUGGGAGGGUCCUGCGCAAUAUCAGCUAGUUGGUAAGGUAACGGCUUACCAAGGCUAUGACGUUUAACUGGUCUGAGAGGAUGAUCAGUCGCGAUGGGACUGAGAUACGGCCCAUACUCCUACGGGAGGCAGCAGUAAGGAAUCUUCCGCAAUGGACGAAAGUCUGACGGAGCAACACCGCGUGGUUGAUGACGCCCCUUGGGGUGUAAAGACCUUUUCUGAGUGAAGAACUUUGACGGUAACUUAGGAAUAAGCACCGGCUAACUCCGUGCCAGCAGCCGCGGUAAUACGGAGGGUGCAAGCGUUACCCGGAAUCAUUGGGC
This 419-nucleotide ribosomal RNA is filed under the name uncultured bacterium. RNAcentral's name for it is "bacterial SSU rRNA". It matches the Rfam family "Bacterial small subunit ribosomal RNA", at positions 106 to 559 of the family's 1533-position model. The record is from RNAcentral.